ACUUCUACAUGCACUUCCCGGCCCAGUUGUGCUUGGCGUUCUCGCGAGGCGGGGUGCUGGACUUUGGUGAGAGGGCCUAAGGGCGACUUCCUCUUCUCUCGGCCCCGCCUGCUGGCGCGGGAUCUCGGCCAAGUGGGCGGUUCUCGCGAGCCCCCGUCCGCAGGUGCCGCGAGACUCCUCUGUGUGCUGGCUGCAGCAGCUGAGGGGUGGCUCCGGCUUCGUGAGUUGUCUGGCGGCGCUCGGCGUGCGAUGACGGGUGAGACCCAGCUCUGAGGAAAAAGCAAAGCCACCCUGGGAGAGUGGCAAACAGAUGAAGGACGAAAUCACGUCAGUUUCUCAAUCUUAAGAACUGGCUAAGGCAACUCUGCUUCUCAUUAUCCUUCAAUAACCUCAAAGCUGUGGAUGAUUUAAUGCUUACUGAAAUGGCUCAAAGCAGGAAUCAGAGGGACAAAGAGAAGACAAGAAGAAGAAGGACAGAGAACUCUGAGAGUGAACAAAUUGAUUACUGACUGCUGAACUUGACUGUGCAAUACCCAAAGACAAGUAUCUGGUAAUUUCUCUUCGAUGAGAUACAGAUGAAGAGCUGAUGAAGAGCCCAAAGUGCUUUGAGCAACAAGUAGGUGACACACAUUCGUGCACUUAUGCUUAUGCAUUUAGAUCAGAAGGCUGAGCUUCAGAAUACCGUCUAGAACUGAUUUACUUUUAAAGUAGGUGUUGUUACAACAAACUUGUUUGGGUUUCCU
This is a long non-coding RNA of Equus quagga, 743 nucleotides long. RefSeq lists it as uncharacterized. The transcript has 3 exons. Lineage: Eukaryota; Metazoa; Chordata; Mammalia; Perissodactyla; Equidae. The record is from RefSeq and is a predicted model, not a curated record.